UACCUUCUGCAUCCAAAGUGGUGAGAUCAGGUGCCAUCUAGUGUAAACCCUUCCUCUUAAUGCACAUCUGACUCCAUCCACUUCUUUCUGUUAUUUCUUCCUUUCCCUGCUUUCAUAAGCAAGCUCUGAAACCCUCAGCUGCUGGAACAAAAGCAAUUCAGCCUUUUCCCAGGAGAUUCUGCAGCAAAAAGCUCACCAAGUCCUCCUGGUGCUGUCUGCAGAGCUAAAGGGAAGGGUUGUAAUAAGGGAGCCCAGAGCUCUGCAUCCCUCUCCAGCCUGGCAGGGAUGGGUUUGCAGCCUGGAGGAGAUGAGAGCAAAGCUUUGGAUGAAGAGUGUGACCCUGCAGCCCCAUUAUCCUCUGACUUUCCUUCAAAUCCAACUUCUGCUGGUUCUAUCUGGAGCUGAGAUGGAGCUGAGCCUGCUCCCUGCACUGUGGGGAACUUGUGAGCCUGCACUGUGCUGGAUUCAGCUUUGCUGCAGGAGGAAUGAACGGUGCUGGAAGCCAAGGCACCCAGGAAUUCUGCUGGAAAACCCUCUGGAUGCUUCUCCCUCUGCACUGGGAGCACUCAGCUGCAGCACUCAGCUGAUUCCUGCACAUGUCCAAGCUGUGCAAAGCAGCCUGGCCAGGGACAGAGGAUUGGGAGCCAAUCUGCUAAACAGGGAUUUAGCCAAGAGGCAGCCCCGAGUGCCAGCCCUCUCCUAAUACUCUCUUAAGCAGCACAGGCAGCUGCUGCUUCCUCCCUGGCCCUCCUCACAGUUCACCUCAGUCCUCCAACUGCAGCAAGGCAUUUCCAAGCAGAAUUAGGUUUUGUUGGCUUCUUGCUACAGUGCCUUUUAAUUAGGAGCACAGCUGCUCUGGAAACACGGAGCUCACUUUUCAAAGAGUGCCUCUGGAAAGUGAUUACAGGGGAUUAAAGCGGAAAGGUUAGGCAAUUUAUUCAGGUGGCACUUAGCAAACGCAUCGGAUUAUUUGGUGCUGCAAGGAUGAUUUAAAAACUCACAAGAAUAACAUCUUUAGGGCUCCUGCUGGCCUUGAGGGACUCUGCUGGCAAGGCAGGUGGUGGAGGUGAAAGCUGGGAGUGAG
This 1084-nucleotide long non-coding RNA is filed under the name Zonotrichia albicollis (white-throated sparrow). Its description in RNAcentral is "lncRNA (ENSZALG00000006289.1)". The record is from RNAcentral. Lineage: Eukaryota; Metazoa; Chordata; Aves; Passeriformes; Passerellidae.